UAUAUUUUAGUAUAGGAUGUACAUAGGUUUUUGAAGCUUAAAGAAUUAGUUUAAUUCUGAUAAAUAUAA
RNAcentral lists this transfer RNA (69 nucleotides) under Scaphidium quadrimaculatum. RNAcentral describes it as "tRNA-Gln". It matches the Rfam family "tRNA". Rfam says of the family: Transfer RNA (tRNA) molecules are approximately 80 nucleotides in length. Their secondary structure includes four short double-helical elements and three loops (D, anti-codon, and T loops). Lineage: Eukaryota; Metazoa; Arthropoda; Insecta; Coleoptera; Staphylinidae. The record is from RNAcentral.